This 1228-nucleotide small RNA is filed under the name Pongo abelii (Sumatran orangutan). RNAcentral's name for it is "retained intron". Lineage: Eukaryota; Metazoa; Chordata; Mammalia; Primates; Hominidae. The record is from RNAcentral.
AGUGCCGCUCUUAGAGGGUCCGGGCUCAGAGGGGCCAUGAUUCGGAGGGUUCUGCCGCACGGCUUGGGCCGGGGCCUCUUGACCCGGAAGCCAGGCACGCGCAGAGGAGGCUUUUCUCUGGUAUUCACAGGCCUCCACUGGGCUCUCAGUAGGUGGGAUUUGUCAGCAGUUCUCAUUGCCUGAGAACAUCCAGCUCUCCCUCUUUUCAGCCAGCUUUCUACGGAAUAUCAAUGAGUACCUGGCCGUAGUCGAUGCCCCUCCCUUGGACCUCCGGUUCAGCCCCUCAGGCUACCUCUUGCUGGCUUCAGAAAAGGAUGCUGCAGCCAUGGAGAGCAACGUGAAAGUGCAGAGGGAUGGAGGACGAAGGUUGGUUUGACCCCUGGUGUCUGCUCCAGGGCCUUCGGCGAAAGGUCCAGUCCUUGGGAGUCCUUUUCUGCCAGGGAGAGGUGACACGUUUUGUCUCUUCAUCUCAACGCAUGUUGACCACAGAUGACAAAGCGGUGGUCUUGAAAAGGAUCCAUAAAGUCCACGUGAAGAUGGACUGCAGCCUGGAGUACCAGCCUGUGGAAUGCGCCAUUGUGGUCAACGCAGCCGGAGCCUGGUCUGCGCAAAUCGCAGCGCUGGCUGGUAUUGGAGAGGGGCCACCUGGCACCCUGCAGGGCACCAAGCUACCUGUGGAGCCGAGGAAAAGGUAUGUGUAUGUAUGGCACUGCCCCCAGGGACCAGGCCUAGAGACUCCGCUUGUUGCAGACACCAGUGGAGCCUAUUUUCGCCGGGAAGGAUUAGGUAGCAACUACCUAGGUGGUCGUAGCCCCACUGAGGGAUUGUUAAACAAGUCUGUGUCUGUCCUUGUGUCCCAGGCAAUGUAAGCCUUGUCCCCACCUCUCACUCCAGCAGGAAGAACCGGACCCAGCGAACCUGGAAGUGGACCAUGAUUUCUUCCAGGACAAGGUGUGGCCCCAUUUGGCCCUGAGGAUCCCAGCUUUUGAGACUCUGAAGGUUCAGAGCGCCUGGGCCAGCUAUUACGACUACAACACCUUUGACCAGAAUGGCGUGGUGGGCCCCCACCCGCUAGUUGCCAACAUGUACUUUGCUACUGGCUUCAGUGGUCACGGGCUCCAGCAGGCCCCUGGCGUUGGGCGAGCUGUAGCAGAGAUGAUACUGAAGGGCAGGUUCCAGACCAUCGACCUGAGCCCCUUCCUCUUUACCCGCUUUUACUUGGGAGAGA